This 21-nucleotide non-coding RNA is filed under the name Arabidopsis thaliana (thale cress). The record is from RNAcentral. Lineage: Eukaryota; Viridiplantae; Streptophyta; Magnoliopsida; Brassicales; Brassicaceae.
UGUGUCAGUUUCGUUCCUUCC